Long non-coding RNA from Homo sapiens (human), 3316 nucleotides. RefSeq lists it as uncharacterized. The transcript has 2 exons. The record is from RefSeq and is a predicted model, not a curated record. Lineage: Eukaryota; Metazoa; Chordata; Mammalia; Primates; Hominidae.
CCACGUGUCAGCAUCAUGUAAAUCAAGCUUUGAUUCCCAGUAGAAAAUAAUUUCCUAAUUGCAAAUUAUUCAUUUUAUGGAUAUUUUACUAGCAGCCCCAACAGAGCCAGUAGUUUUAAAUUUAUAUACCUCUGUCAAAAGGAAUACACCGUUAAGAGGUUUAAUCAUAGCACCUGAAAAAGUACAAAUGUUCUCCUUGUAAAUAUCAUGGAUACAUAAUAGCUUCUCAGUCAGUUAUACCCCAGAAGAUUAAAUUAAAUACUAACAACUUAUGUACCUUAAAUGAUUAUCAAAAAUUAGUAUGUGAUAUUAACUGGCUUCACCCCACCUUAGGCAUAACUACUGAUAAGUUACAAAACCUGUUUUCUAUCCUAAAGGGCAAUACAGCCCUAGACUCUCCCAAGUAUUUAACGCCUGCACCAAAAAGGGAAAAUGAGGAAAUAGAUCAAGCUAUUUCUUAGAGGCAACUAAAUCACAUAGACCCACAAUAUUUAGUGGAAUUGUUUGUUUUUUUCCUACUAAACAUUCCCCAGCAGGAUUAAUAGGACAGAUGGCCCAGGGCUAGUACACCUCCUAGAAUGGAUUUUUUUACCCACAUACUGGGACUAAAACACUAUCUAUCCAUAUAUGGCUAGUUAGUAAAGUAAUCUAUACAGGCCACAGACAAUGCAAUCCGUUGCUAGGUUAUGACCCUGAUGUCAUAAAUCCCUUGAGUAAAAAAAAAUUCCAAGCAGUCUUGUCCUUAUCUCUGGACCUGCAGAUAGCAGUAUCUGAUUAUGCAGGCCAUAUAGAACAUGCCCUUCCUGCUGACAAAUUACUUCAGUUCUUACCUCAUACUCCUGUAGUUAUGCCUACAAAGCACGAUGCAUCAAAUCAUACCAUGGUGUGGCUAGGACCCAACCCAGUAGGAGAAAUGAAGGGAAUGACCCUACAGGACCUGCAGCCCCGGAUGAUGCAACUUCCUUGGAUGACACGAGCCCUGGACAUUACCUGGGGGAUGCUGAAGAUGACAACCCAGGAGGCUGAGCAAAUCCUACCCUGGACACAGACACCAUUCACUCCAGAUAAUUUGUUCCUUGCUAUGCUUUCUGUUGUACAUUGCAACUCUUGUAGGAUAUUGGCUUUUCUUAUUUUCUCACUCUGGUUGCAACUGGUACCUGCUACACUCUAUUAAGCCCAUCUUCUAAAUCUGCCUUUCUUCUGCACUGUUACCUGUGCAGAUACUCCCUUCCCAGCCUCUAAUAACGUAACCGCUUGGCUAGGAGGGAUUGACCUACCCGCCAUGGGUUUCCUUAGUAAUGGCACAGAUUGGACUGAGGAGCCAAGCAACACUACAUAUCACUCCUUGACUGGAAAAGAAUGUUACGAAUUAUACUCAUGUUUGUCUCAUUAUUUACUAAUUCUAGGAUGCAAAGCCAGAAUACAAGCAGCAACCACUACACCAGACAAACCUUUUGCUGCACACAUCUGUAUUCUUCAAUCAACAAAACCUGACACAAACAAAAAGAAAAUGGGGAGAUGUCAGAGAUCAGUCAGCAUGGUGGGAAAAAUUAUAGGGAAAGACCCAAACCUUCUUGGAAGGCUGGGAUGUUUAGCACAGCUUCAGGACAGAAUAAAAGCUGAAGGCAGCUAAUUCCCUUACCCUGAAGCAGAAGGCAAAUGGUAAAUAACAUGGGAAUAUAAAGAUCCUUAUCUAGAUAAAUUGGUUCACUUAUGUCUCCAGAAACCAACCUCUGAUCAUUUGCACAGAGGACUGCUCUCUAUUCGGGGGGUCAGCAGUGUUAAUCACCCACAAACUGUGCUUGCUCCAGGCCUUUGCCAUUAAAUCUGUACUAAGUAAAUACAAAUAGCUCUGGCUUAUUGGGGUGGCACUCUUGUCAGCAGUGCUAAGCCGUGCAGUCCCCUAGCCGCACUCUCAGGGAAAGUACCUGUGUCUGCCUACUCCUUUCAUCCAUCGCUCGGCCACGGUCUGUGGGACAGACCCAGCACUUUACAAUUCCAACAUCUGUAUUGUAUUUAGUUCAAAAUUUACGACUUUCUUAUUUGUUUCUCAGUUCAUUGAAAUUAAAAUGUACUCUUUAGUCAGCAGGUACUGUAUAUAUGUGUGCUGAAGUGGAUCGAAUGGCUCCUUGAGGCAACUUUAGAAGGGGAGUUGAACAUAGGCUGUGCAAAGUUUUCAUCUGCCCCAUAGCUAACCAUUCUUUUAUUGAACUGGUAGCCUUCAUCCAUAUCUGGUAUAGACAGUCUUAUACAGAUCAAUUUAACUUCUGUUUUUCUCAAGAAAGAAAGAUAUGUGUGAGCUGGUAAGUGACUUCAGAGGAUUAAUAAGCAGGCACUGAUACAACAUAUAACUUAAAGAGGUAAGGAUGCUUAGCAUUCCCUCUGACAAGAAUUCAGCACAGUUGGUCAGGUUUUCUUAUUGGCUACCAUUUACUGUUGCUAAACUUGUGUUAAUUUCUGUCACUGGGCGAGAAGAGCUAACCUUCUUCAGGCAAUGCACUUAGUUCAAUACAUUAGUGGUUGCUUGGUGUGUAGGCAAAAGGAGGAUUGCAAAGUCAAGCCUGCAGUUAAAAAUGGAAAUGUAACUGUGUUGCAGUUCUUAAUAAUAUAAAUACAUAUUUUUAUGUUUUCGCCUUUUACGAUGUACAUUUACACAUGAAUAAUUGGUAUUAACAUUACUAAUUACUAAGAGAGUUAGCUUCAAUUCUUUUUAUUUUAAUUUUUAUUUCAAUAGCUUUAGGGAUACAAGUGGCUUUUGGUUGCAUGGAUGAAUUGUGUAGCCGUGAAGUCUGGGAUUUUAGUGCACCUAUCACCUAAAUACCGUACCUUGUACUCAAUAGUUUUCCAUCCCUCACCUUCUCCUGCCCAGCCUCCUUCAUGAGCCUCCAGUGCCCAUGAUACCACUCUGUAUGCCUUAGCAUACCCACAGUUUAAUUUCCACCUGUAAGUGAGAACAUGUAAUGUUUGGUUUUCAAUUCCUGAGUUACUUCACUUAGAAUAAAAGCCUCCAGCUCCAUCCAAAUUGUGCAAAAGACACUUUUGUUCUUUUCUUAUGGCUUAGUUGUAUUCCAUAGUAUAUUUAUAUGGAUAUAUACCACCUUUUCUUUAUUCACUCAUUGGUUGAUAGGAAUUUAGGUUGGUUCCAUAUCUUUUAAGUUGUAAACUGUGCUGCAGUAGAGGGAUUACCAAGCAUAUAUCUAAUUUACAUACACAUAAAAGUUUCUUUUCCAUAUAAUGACUUAUUUUCCUUUGGGUAGAUAGCCAGCAGUGGGAUCUCUGGAUUGAAUGGUAAAUCUAUUCUUACUUGAGAAAUCUC